RNAcentral lists this ribosomal RNA (253 nucleotides) under uncultured bacterium. RNAcentral's name for it is "partial 16S ribosomal RNA". It matches the Rfam family "Bacterial small subunit ribosomal RNA", at positions 524 to 776 of the family's 1533-position model. The record is from RNAcentral.
GACGUAGGGGGCCAGCGUUGCUCGGAAUUACUGGGUGUAAAGGGAGCGUAGGCGGACAGUUUAGUCAGAGGUGAAAGCCCAGGGCUCAACCCUGGAAUUGCCUUUGAUACUGAUUGUCUUGAGUAUGGGAGAGGUGAGUGGAACUCCGAGUGUAGAGGUGAAAUUCGUAGAUAUUCGGAAGAACACCAGUGGCGAAGGCGACUCACUGGCCCAUUACUGACGCUGAGGCUCGAAAGCGUGGGGAGCAAACAGG